This 909-nucleotide ribosomal RNA is filed under the name Enterococcus faecium. RNAcentral describes it as "bacterial SSU rRNA". It matches the Rfam family "Bacterial small subunit ribosomal RNA", at positions 56 to 935 of the family's 1533-position model. The record is from RNAcentral. Lineage: Bacteria; Bacillati; Bacillota; Bacilli; Lactobacillales; Enterococcaceae.
UGCAAGUCGAACGCUUCUUUUUCCACCGGAGCUUGCUCCACCGGAAAAAGAGGAGUGGCGAACGGGUGAGUAACACGUGGGUAACCUGCCCAUCAGAAGGGGAUAACACUUGGAAACAGGUGCUAAUACCGUAUAACAAUCAAAACCGCAUGGUUUUGAUUUGAAAGGCGCUUUCGGGUGUCGCUGAUGGAUGGACCCGCGGUGCAUUAGCUAGUUGGUGAGGUAACGGCUCACCAAGGCCACGAUGCAUAGCCGACCUGAGAGGGUGAUCGGCCACAUUGGGACUGAGACACGGCCCAAACUCCUACGGGAGGCAGCAGUAGGGAAUCUUCGGCAAUGGACGAAAGUCUGACCGAGCAACGCCGCGUGAGUGAAGAAGGUUUUCGGAUCGUAAAACUCUGUUGUUAGAGAAGAACAAGGAUGAGAGUAACUGUUCAUCCCUUGACGGUAUCUAACCAGAAAGCCACGGCUAACUACGUGCCAGCAGCCGCGGUAAUACGUAGGUGGCAAGCGUUGUCCGGAUUUAUUGGGCGUAAAGCGAGCGCAGGCGGUUUCUUAAGUCUGAUGUGAAAGCCCCCGGCUCAACCGGGGAGGGUCAUUGGAAACUGGGAGACUUGAGUGCAGAAGAGGAGAGUGGAAUUCCAUGUGUAGCGGUGAAAUGCGUAGAUAUAUGGAGGAACACCAGUGGCGAAGGCGGCUCUCUGGUCUGUAACUGACGCUGAGGCUCGAAAGCGUGGGGAGCAAACAGGAUUAGAUACCCUGGUAGUCCACGCCGUAAACGAUGAGUGCUAAGUGUUGGAGGGUUUCCGCCCUUCAGUGCUGCAGCUAACGCAUUAAGCACUCCGCCUGGGGAGUACGACCGCAAGGUUGAAACUCAAAGGAAUUGACGGGGGCCCGCACAAGCGGUGG